AGAGAGGAGCUUGCUCUUCUUGGAUGAGUUGCGAACGGGUGAGUAACGCGUAGGUAACCUGCCUUGUAGCGGGGGAUAACUAUUGGAAACGAUAGCUAAUACCGCAUAACAAUGGAUGACACAUGUCAUUUAUUUGAAAGGGGCAAUUGCUCCACUACAAGAUGGACCUGCGUUGUAUUAGCUAGUAGGUGAGGUAAUGGCUCACCUAGGCGACGAUACAUAGCCGACCUGAGAGGGUGAUCGGCCACACUGGGACUGAGACACGGCCCAGACUCCUACGGGAGGCAGCAGUAGGGAAUCUUCGGCAAUGGGGGCAACCCUGACCGAGCAACGCCGCGUGAGUGAAGAAGGUUUUCGGAUCGUAAAGCUCUGUUGUAAGUCAAGAACGGGUGUGAGAGUGGAAAGUUCACACUGUGACGGUAGCUUACCAGAAAGGGACGGCUAACAACGUGCCAGCAGCCGCGGUAAUACGUAGGUCCCGAGCGUUGUCCGGAUUUAUUGGGCGUAAAGCGAGCGCAGGCGGUUUGAUAAGUCUGAAGUUAAAGGCUGUGGCUCAACCAUAGUUCGCUUUGGAAACUGUCAAACUUGAGUGCAGAAGGGGAGAGUGGAAUUCCAUGUGUAGCGGUGAAAUGCGUAGAUAUAUGGAGGAACACCGGUGGCGAAAGCGGCUCUCUGGUCUGUAACUGACGCUGAGGCUCGAAAGCGUGGGGAGCGAACAGGAUUAGAUACCCUGGUAGUCCACGCCGUAAACGAUGAGUGCUAGGUGUUGGAUCCUUUCCGGGAUUCAGUGCCGCAGCUAACGCAUUAAGCACUCCGCCUGGGGAGUACGACCGCAAGGUUGAAACUCAAAGGAAUUGACGGGGGCCCGCACAAGCGGUGGAGCAUGUGGUUUAAUUCGAAGCAACGCGAAGAACCUUACCAGGUCUUGACAUCCCGAUGCUAUUUCUAGAGAUAGAAAGUUACUUCGGUACAUCGGUGACAGGUGGUGCAUGGUUGUCGUCAGCUCGUGUCGUGAGAUGUUGGGUUAAGUCCCGCAACGAGCGCAACCCCUAUUGUUAGUUGCCAUCAUUCAGUUGGGCACUCUAGCGAGACUGCCGGUAAUAAACCGGAGGAAGGUGGGGAUGACGUCAAAUCAUCAUGCCCCUUAUGACCUGGGCUACACACGUGCUACAAUGGUUGGUACAACGAGUUGCGAGUCGGUGACGGCGAGCUAAUCUCUUAAAGCCAAUCUCAGUUCGGAUUGUAGGCUGCAACUCGCCUACAUGAAGUCGGAAUCGCUAGUAAUCGCGGAUCAGCACGCCGCGGUGAAUACGUUCCCGGGCCUUGUACACACCGCCCGUCACACCACGAGAGUUUGUAACACCCGAAGUCGGUGAGGUAACC
RNAcentral lists this ribosomal RNA (1383 nucleotides) under Streptococcus thermophilus. Its description in RNAcentral is "bacterial SSU rRNA". It matches the Rfam family "Bacterial small subunit ribosomal RNA", at positions 70 to 1440 of the family's 1533-position model. Lineage: Bacteria; Bacillati; Bacillota; Bacilli; Lactobacillales; Streptococcaceae. The record is from RNAcentral.